GUCACCUCAAGUCUGAAUUCUGCCUUAAAAAAUUUUAAUUCGGGAUGCAGAAACGCACAAAGCCUAUCCCACAUGAUUUGCCUACUUGAACUCGGUGAAAACGAUCUAGUACCUCAUCAGGGAUCUCUGUCGUUGCUUAUGAGCUCACCGUAAUUGCGUGAGUAUCUUUACAUCAAUACAUUUCCGUGGCGGGGAAUGUGAUCCAACAAUCAUGAUUCCUUGGACAAUUUUGUUGUGAACAGAGAUUAAAAUUGGUAGAUGUCACCACUUACCGUGACCCAUGAAAACUGUGCCGGCCAGCCCGGCCUUUAAGCCGCAUUCAUUAUUUAUUGACAAUGACUAGCAGUUUGGCAGUUGCCAGAAACGAGAUCAACUUAUUCUUAAGAUUUAAUCCGUGGCUAUAAUAAUCUUUAACUGAAAGCUAGAGCUGUGUACACUUGUUUAUUUCCUUCAGCUUUGAAAUGGCUGAUCGAAGCCGAGCACCAAUGUACGGUUUGGCCGUUCUUCUUGUUGCGUUUGCCUUAAAAGAUUUCUUCCUUCCAGCUGAAGUUCAGCCAGAACAAAAUUCGUUGCAAUCCAAGGAGAUUCCUAGCUUGCAUCUUAAUCGAUUUGUUGGACCUUCGAUCAAGUUCACCUUUUGUUCUUCCUGAGGUUAUCGCAAAGUGUUUGAACAGUAUGCUGCAAUUCUCGAACAGAAGUAUCCAUCUUUGGCAAUUGAAGGGUUGAAUCAUCCUCCACCCUUCUUAAACCAAAAGAUUGCUCAAUUUCUGGGAAUUGUGAAAAUACUGCUCAUACUUCUGGUAGUUUCUGGUACCAACAUUUUCCAGCAUUUAGGUGUACAAACUCCUUCAGUUUGGGAAUGGACUCAGCAGAACAAAUUCUAUGCUUGCUUGAUGACUUUCUUUCUAUG
This is an RNA transcript of Daphnia magna, 910 nucleotides long. It is a transcript of the gene named thioredoxin reductase-like selenoprotein T, with no coding region annotated. The transcript is spliced from 4 exons. NCBI's taxonomy places the organism in Eukaryota, Metazoa, Arthropoda, Branchiopoda, Diplostraca, Daphniidae. The record is from RefSeq and is a predicted model, not a curated record.